CUGGAGGUAUCAGAAGUGAGAAUGCAGGAAUGAGUAGCGAGAAGGCGGGUGAGAAUCCCGCCGGCCGGAAGUCCAAGGUUUCCAGGGGAAGGCUUGUCCGCCCUGGGGAAGUCGGGACCUAAGCAUAAGCAAAAUUGUGAUGGCGAAUGGAAAACAGGUUAAUAUUCCUGUACCGCUGUUAUCGCUUGAGAGACGGAGUGACGCAGGAAGGUAUGCGAGAAGGCUGACGGUUUAGCCUUUCUAAGGGCCCAGCGUGGGCGUGCAGGUAAAUCCGCACGCCUAAACGUGAGACCUGACGGGGAAGUGCAUUUGCAUAAGUCGCAGAUCCUACACUGCCAAGAAAAACUUCUAUCGAUGAGAAGCAGCGCCCGUACUGUAAACCGACACAGGUGGACAGAGUGAGAAACUUAAGGCCGACAGGAUAACUCUAGCUAAGGAACUCUGCAAAAUAGCCCCGUAACUUCGGGAGAAGGGGUGCCUGACAUACCUGAAGGAGAGAAGCGCUCCCAGGGGAAACAGGCCGCAGUGAAGAGUCUCAAGCAACUGUUUACCAAAAACACAGGUCUAUGCUAAGCUGAAAGGCGACGUAUAUGGGCUGACACCUGCCCAGUGCCGGAAGGUUAAGAGGAGGAUUGAGAGAUCCGAAUUGAAGCCCCGGUGAACGGCGGCCGUAACUAUAACGGUCCUAAGGUAGCGAAAUUCCUUGUCGGGUAAGUUCCGACCUGCACGAAUGGUGAAAUGAUUUGGGAGCUGUCUUGGCUGGAGACCUGGUGAAGUUGUAAUGCCGGUGAAGAUACCGGCUACCUGCAGUAGGACGGAAAGACCCCGUGGAGCUUUACUGUAGCUUGGCAUUGGGUUCUGGCAAUGUGUGUAUAGGAUAGUUGGGAGACUGUGAUGUGAUGGCGUCAGCCAUUGCUGAGUCGCUGUUGGAAUACCAACCAUAUGCUGUCGGAAUUCUAAUCUGGCAACGGAGACAGUGCUAGGUGGGCAGUUUGACUGGGGCGGUCGCCUCCCAAAGAGUAACGGAGGCGUUCAAAGGUUCCCUCAGGCUGGAUGGAAAUCAGCCUAAGAGUGCAAACGCAUAAGGGAGCUUGACUGCAAGACUGACGGGUCGAGCAGGUACGAAAGUAGGAGUUAGUGAUCCGGCGGUUCCGCAUGGAAGGACCGUCGCUCAACGGAUAAAAGCUACCCCGGGGAUAACAGGCUGAUACUUCCCAAGAGUCCAUAUCGACGGAAGUGUUUGGCACCUCGAUGUCGGCUCGUCUCAUCCUGGGGCUGGAGAAGGUCCCAAGGGUUGGGCUGUUCGCCCAUUAAAGAGGCACGCGAGCUGGGUUCAGAACGUCGUGAGACAGUUCGGUCCCUAUCCACUGCAGGCGCUUGAAUAUUGAAAAGAUCUGACCUUAGUACGAGAGGACCGGGUUGGACAGACCUCUGAUGUAUCAGUUGUCACGCCAGUGGCAUGGCUGAGUAGUCACGUCUGGUACGGAUAACCGCUGAAAGCAUCUAAGCGGGAAGCCGACUUUGAGAUGAAUAUUCGUAGUAUCCAUAGAGAACAUAUGGUCGAUAGGCUAGGGGUGCAAGUGCAGCAAUGCAUUUAGCUGACUAGUACUAAUAUUACGUCUGCUUUUA
Molecule: ribosomal RNA, 1629 nt
Filed under: human metagenome
Description: bacterial LSU rRNA
Rfam family: Bacterial large subunit ribosomal RNA
Source: RNAcentral